Molecule: ribosomal RNA, 430 nt
Filed under: uncultured bacterium
Lineage: Bacteria
Description: partial 16S ribosomal RNA
Rfam family: Bacterial small subunit ribosomal RNA
Source: RNAcentral
GUGGGGAAUAUUGCACAAUGGGCGCAAGCCUGAUGCAGCAACGCCGCGUGAGGGACGACGGCCUUCGGGUUGUAAACCUCUUUUAGAAGGGAAGAAGCGAAAGUGACGGUACCUGCAGAAAAAGCACCGGCUAACUACGUGCCAGCAGCCGCGGUAAUACGUAGGGUACAAGCGUUGUCCGGAAUUAUUGGGCGUAAAGAGCUCGUAGGCGGCUUGUCGCGUCUGCUGUGAAAACCCGAGGCUCAACCUCGGGCCUGCAGUGGGUACGGGCAGGCUAGAGUGCGGUAGGGGAGAUUGGAAUUCCUGGUGUAGCGGUGGAAUGCGCAGAUAUCAGGAGGAACACCGAUGGCGAAGGCAGAUCUCUGGGCCGUAACUGACGCUGAGGAGCGAAAGCAUGGGGAGCGAACAGGAUUAGAAACCCUUGUAGUCC